AGAGCGAACGCUGGCGGCAGGCUUAACACAUGCAAGUCGAGCGGAUGUAGCAAUACAUCAGCGGCAGACGGGUGAGUAACACGUGGGAACGUGCCUUUUGGUUCGGAACAACACAGGGAAAACUUGUGCUAAUACCGGAUAAGCCCUUACGGGGAAAGAUUUAUCGCCGAAAGAUCGGCCCGCGUCUGAUUAGCUAGUUGGUGAGGUAAUGGCUCACCAAGGCGACGAUCAGUAGCUGGUCUGAGAGGAUGAUCAGCCACAUUGGGACUGAGACACGGCCCAAACUCCUACGGGAGGCAGCAGUGGGGAAUAUUGGACAAUGGGCGCAAGCCUGAUCCAGCCAUGCCGCGUGGGUGAUGAAGGCCCUAGGGUUGUAAAGCCCUUUCGGCGGGAAGAUAAUGACGGUACCGCAGAAGAAGCCCCGGCUAACUUCGUGCCAGCAGCCG
Molecule: ribosomal RNA, 446 nt
Filed under: uncultured bacterium
Lineage: Bacteria
Description: SSU rRNA
Rfam family: Bacterial small subunit ribosomal RNA
Source: RNAcentral